Molecule: ribosomal RNA, 901 nt
Filed under: uncultured marine bacterium
Lineage: Bacteria
Description: bacterial SSU rRNA
Rfam family: Bacterial small subunit ribosomal RNA
Source: RNAcentral
UGCAUGCAAGUCGAGCGAAGCUUUUCAGUAGUUUACUACAGAAAAUGACUGAGCGGCGAACGGGUGAGUAACGCGUGAGCAAUCUACCUCAGUUACAGGGAUAGCCCGAGGAAACUCGGAUUAAUACCUGAUACUCUUUAAAUUUCGCAUGAAAUUAAAAGGAAAGGUCAGCCGAACUAAGAUGAGCUCGCGUUCUAUCAGCUAGUUGGUGAGGUAAAAGCUCACCAAGGCAACGACGGAUAGCUGGUCUGAGAGGACGAUCAGCCACACUGGGACUGAGACACGGCCCAGACUCCUACGGGAGGCUGCAGCAGGGAAUAUUGCGCAAUGAGCGAAAGCUUGACGCAGCGACACCGCGUGUGGGAUGACGGAUCUAGGUUUGUAAACCACUUUCAGGAGGGAAGAAAAUGACGGUACCUCCACAAGAAGCCCCGGCCAACUACGUGCCAGCAGCCGCGGUAAUACGUAGGGGGCGAGCGUUGUCCGGAUUUAUUGGGCGUAAAGAGCUCGUAGGCGGUUCAACAAGUCGGUCGUAAAAGUUCAGGGCUCAACCCUGAAAUGUCGAUCGAUACUGUUGUGACUAGGAUACGGUAGAGGUGAGUGGAAUUCCGAGUGUAGCGGUGAAAUGCGUAGAUAUUCGGAGGAACACCAAUUGCGAAGGCAGCUCACUGGGCCGCUAUCGACGCUGAGGAGCGAAAGCUAGGGGAGCAAACAGGAUUAGAUACCCUGGUAGUCCUAGCUGUAAACGAUGGAUACUAGACGUAGGAACUGGAUUGACGGUUUCUGUGUCGUAGCUAACGCGUUAAGUAUCCCGCCUGGGGAGUACGGUCGCAAGACUAAAACUCAAAGGAAUUGACGGGACCCCGCACAAGCGGCGGAGCAUGCGGCUUAAUUCGAUGAU